AAAUUGAAGAGCGACGUAUGCCUCAGAUUGAACGCCGCGGCAAGCCCAACACAUGCAAGUCGAACGGUAACAGGAAGCAGCUUGCUGCUUUAUUGACGAGUGGCGGACGGUGAGUACGUCUGGGAAACCGCCUGAUGGAGGGGGAUAACUACUGGAAACGGUGGCUACACCGUAUAACGUCGCAAGACCAAAGAGGGGUAACCGGGCCCUUGCCACCGAUGCCCAGAUGGGACGGCUUUGUUGCGAGUAACGGCUCACCAAGGCGACAGAUCCCGGCUGGUCUGAGAGGAUGACCAGCCACACUGAACUGGAGACGGUCCAGGACUCCUACGGGAGGCAGCAGUGGGGAAUAUUAGAAUACCGGGCGCAAGCUCACGCGUUUCGCUGCCGCGUGUAUGAAGAAGGCCUUCGGGUUGUGCUACCAGCGGGAGGUUGCGGCUAGGUUAAUGUUCCACAGCACUGAUCGCCACCGCAGAAGAAGGACCGGCUAACUCCGCGCCAGCAGCCGCGCAAUUUACGGAGGGUGCGUUAAUCGAAUUACUGGGCGUAAAAGCGCACGGCAGGCGGUCUGUCGUCGGACGGAAAUCCCCGCCCAAACCCGAACCAUCUGAAACUGGCAGCUUUGAGCCCAGGUAGGGUAGAAUCUGUGUACGGUGAAAAUGCGUAGAGAUCUGGAGGAAUACCGCGCGAAGGCGGCCCCGGUCAAAGACUGACGCUCAGGUGCGGAAAGCGUGGGGAGCAAACAGGAUGAUACCCCGUAGUCCACGCCAAACGUGGCGUCUACUGGAGGGUUGUGCCCUGCAGGCGGCUCUCGAGCUAACGCGUUAGCAGACCGCCCGGGGAGCGCGUAUUUGGCCGCAGCAAAACCAAAUGACUCCGAUUUGGGCCCGCACAAGCGUGGUGGAGCAUGUGGUUUAAUUCGAUGCAACGCGAAGAACCUACCCGGCCCUUGACAUCCACGGAAGUUUUCAGAGAUGAGAAUGUACCGGGAACCGUGAGACAGGUGCCGCAUGGCUGUCGUCAGCUCGUGUUGUGAAAUGGGCCAGUUAAGUCCCGCAACGAAAGCGCAACCCCUUAUCCUUUGUUGCCAGCGGUUAGGCCAAACCCAAAGGAGACCGCCAGUGAUAAACUGAGGAAGGUGGGAUGACGUCAAGUCAUCAUGGCCCUUACGACCGUAUUGCCACACGUGCUGCCAAUGGCGCAUACAAAGAGCAGCGACCUGAGUAUAAGCGCACCCCUCAGCCAAAAGCAAGUCGUAGUCCGGAUUGGAGCCCGCAACUCGACCCAUGGUGAAGUUCUGGAAUCGCUAGUAAUCGUGGAUCAGAAUGCCACGGUGAAUACGUUCCCGGGCUUCUCCUGUACACACCGCCCGUCACACCAUGGGAGUGGGUUGCAAAAGAAGUAGGUAGCUUAACCUUCGGAGUGGCGCUUACCACUUUGUGAGAUUCAUGACUGGGGUGAAGUCGUAACAAGGUAAAUCGUAGGGGAAACGCGGUUGAUCACCUACCUG
RNAcentral lists this ribosomal RNA (1510 nucleotides) under Salmonella enterica subsp. enterica. Its description in RNAcentral is "16S ribosomal RNA". It matches the Rfam family "Bacterial small subunit ribosomal RNA". The record is from RNAcentral. Lineage: Bacteria; Pseudomonadati; Pseudomonadota; Gammaproteobacteria; Enterobacterales; Enterobacteriaceae.